CUCUGUGACUCCUACGGGGAGGCAGCAGUGGGGAAUAUUGCACAAUGGGGGAAACCCUGAUGCAGCCAUGCCGCGUGUGUGAAGAAGGCCUUCGGGUUGUAAAGCACUUUCAGUAGGGAGGAAGGUAGUGUAGUUAAUACCUGCAUUAUUUGACGUUACCUACAGAAGAAGCACCGGCUAACUCCGUGCCAGCAGCCGCGGUAAUACGGAGGGUGCGAGCGUUAAUCGGAAUUACUGGGCGUAAAGCGCAUGCAGGCGGCCUGUUAAGUCAGAUGUGAAAGCCCGGGGCUUAACCUCGGAAUUGCAUUUGAAACUGGCAGGCUAGAGUCUUGUAGAGGGGGGUAGGAAUUUCAGGUGUAGCGGUGAAAUGCGUAGAGAUCUGAAGGAAUACCAGUGGCGAAGGCGGCCCCCUCGGACAAAGACUGACGCUCAGAUGCGAAAGCGUGGGGAGCAAACAGGAUUAGAUACCCUGGUAG
This 476-nucleotide ribosomal RNA is filed under the name uncultured bacterium. RNAcentral describes it as "bacterial SSU rRNA". It matches the Rfam family "Bacterial small subunit ribosomal RNA", at positions 328 to 793 of the family's 1533-position model. The record is from RNAcentral.